CCCUUCGAUAGCUCAUCUUUGCGCGUCGCAGUCGCGCGGAGCCCGGCUUCCGACGUGCAGCCUGGCAGUGCAGUGGGGAACUUCCUGUGUGCCUUCUAUCCUGAUGACACCCCCUCACUGAAAUCCUGGUGUUGUUUCCACAGAGCUGUCUGGCCUUUUGUCCUUGAUCCUUGGUUAAGGAAAUGACCAACCAGCCCAUGAUGAUGCCAUUUGGUCAGUUGCUUGGGGGACAAACAAGAAGGAAAACUCUGAGACAGUGGUCACAGGCUCCCUAGAUGACCUGGUGAAGGUCUGGAAAUGACCAUUGGUAUUGCAUAGUCACAGGGACCCAGAAUUUCAGAUGCCAGGUAAAGUGUGUUCUGUGUGAAGAAAUCCAUUUCUCUGUCCCCUGUUGAAGGCGUGAUGAGAGGCUGGACCUACAGUGGAGUCUGGAGGGACAUCAGCUGGGAGUGGUGUCUGUGGACAUCAGCCACACCCUGCCCAUUGCUGCAUCCAGCUCUCUUGAUGCUCAUAUUCGUCUUUGGGACUUGGAAAAUGGCAAACAGAUAAAGUCC
Molecule: small RNA, 554 nt
Filed under: Pan troglodytes (chimpanzee)
Lineage: Eukaryota; Metazoa; Chordata; Mammalia; Primates; Hominidae
Description: processed transcript
Source: RNAcentral